UUAAGCGAACAAGCGUACACGGUGGAUGCCCUGGCAGUCAGAGGCGAUGAAGGACGUGCUAAUCUGCGAAAAGCGCCGGUAAGGUGAUAUGAACCGUUAUAGCCGGCGAUGUCCGAAUGGGGAAACCCAGUGUGAUUCGUCACACUAUCUCAGCAUGAAUACAUAGUGCUGUGAGGCGAACCGGGGGAACUGAAACAUCUAAGUACCCCGAGGAAAAGAAAUCAACCGAGAUUCCCCCAGUAGCGGCGAGCGAACGGGGAACAGCCCAGAGCCUGAAUCAGCUUGUGUGUCAGUGGAACGGUCUGGAAAGGCCGGCGAUACAGGGUGACAGCCCCGUACACGAAGGCACACAGGGCUGUGAGCUCGAUGAGUAGGGCGGGACACGUGAUAUCCUGUCUGAAGAUGGGGGGACCAUCCUCCAAGGCUAAAUACUCCUGACUGACCGAUAGUGAACCAGUACCGUGAGGGAAAGGCGAAAAGAACCCCGGCGAGGGGAGUGAAACAGAACCUGAAACCGUGUACGUACAAGCAGUGGGAGCCUUCGUAAGAGGGUGACUGCGUACCUUUUGUAUAAUGGGUCAGCGACUUAUAUUCUGUAGCAAGGUUAACCGAUAGGGGAGCCGAAGGGAAACCGAGUCUUAAUUGGGCGUUAAGUUGCAGGGUAUAGACCCGAAACCCGGUGAUCUAGCCAUGGGCAGGUUGAAGGUUGGGUAACACUAACUGGAGGACCGAACCGACUAAUGUUGAAAAAUUAGCGGAUGACCUGUGGCUGGGGGUGAAAGGCCAAUCAAACCGGGAGAUAGCUGGUUCUCCCCGAAAGCUAUUUAGGUAGCGCCUCGUGAACUCAUCUUCGGGGGUAGAGCACUGUUUCGGCUAGGGGGCCAUCCCGGCUUACCAACCCGAUGCAAACUACGAAUACCGAAGAAUGUUAUCACGGGAGACACACGGCGGGUGCUAACGUCCGUCGUGAAGAGGGAAACAACCCAGACCGCCAGCUAAGGUCCCAAAGUCAUGGUUAAGUGGGAAACGAUGUGGGAAGGCACAGACAGCCAGGAUGUUGGCUUAGAAGCAGCCAUCAUUUAAAGAAAGCGUAAUAGCUCACUGGUCGAGUCGGCCUGCGCGGAAGAUGUAACGGGGCUAAACCAUGCACCGAAGCUGCGGCAGCGACACUAUGUGUUGUUGGGUAGGGGAGCGUUCUGUAAGCCUGUGAAGGUGUGCUGUGAGGCAUGCUGGAGGUAUCAGAAGUGCGAAUGCUGACAUAAGUAACGAUAAAGCGGGUGAAAAGCCCGCUCGCCGGAAGACCAAGGGUUCCUGUCCAACGUUAAUCGGGGCAGGGUGAGUCGACCCCUAAGGCGAGGCCGAAAGGCGUAGUCGAUGGGAAACAGGUUAAUAUUCCUGUACUUGGUGUUACUGCGAAGGGGGGACGGAGAAGGCUAUGUUGGCCGGGCGACGGUUGUCCCGGUUUAAGCGUGUAGGUGUGUGUUCCAGGUAAAUCCGGUUCACUUUAACACUGAGGCGUGAUGACGAGGCACUACGGUGCUGAAGUAACAAAUGCCCUGCUUCCAGGAAAAGCCUCUAAGCAUCAGGUAACACGAAAUCGUACCCCAAACCGACACAGGUGGUCAGGUAGAGAAUACCAAGGCGCUUGAGAGAACUCGGGUGAAGGAACUAGGCAAAAUGGUGCCGUAACUUCGGGAGAAGGCACGCUGACAUGUAGGUGAAGCCCCUGCGGGUGGAGCUGAAGUCAGUCGAAGAUACCAGCUGGCUGCAACUGUUUAUUAAAAACACAGCACUGUGCAAACACGAAAGUGGACGUAUACGGUGUGACGCCUGCCCGGUGCCGGAAGGUUAAUUGAUGGGGUUAUCGCAAGAGAAGCUCCUGAUCGAAGCCCCGGUAAACGGCGGCCGUAACUAUAACGGUCCUAAGGUAGCGAAAUUCCUUGUCGGGUAAGUUCCGACCUGCACGAAUGGCGUAAUGAUGGCCAGGCUGUCUCCACCCGAGACUCAGUGAAAUUGAACUCGCUGUGAAGAUGCAGUGUACCCGCGGCAAGACGGAAAGACCCCGUGAACCUUUACUACAGCUUGACACUGAACAUUGAGCCUUGAUGUGUAGGAUAGGUGGGAGGCUUUGAAGCGUGGACGCCAGUCUGCGUGGAGCCAACCUUGAAAUACCACCCUUUAAUGUUUGAUGUUCUAACCUGGCGCCAUAAUCUGGCGUGGGGACAGUGUCUGGUGGGUAGUUUGACUGGGGCGGUCUCCUCCCAAAGUGUAACGGAGGAGCACGAAGGUCAGCUAAUCCUGGUCGGACAUCAGGAGGUUAGUGCAAUGGCAUAAGCUGGCUUGACUGCGAGAGUGACGGCUCGAGCAGGUGCGAAAGCAGGUCAUAGUGAUCCGGUGGUUCUGUAUGGAAGGGCCAUCGCUCAACGGAUAAAAGGUACUCCGGGGAUAACAGGCUGAUACCGCCCAAGAGUUCAUAUCGACGGCGGUGUUUGGCACCUCGAUGUCGGCUCAUCACAUCCUGGGGCUGAAGUAGGUCCCAAGGGUAUGGCUGUUCGCCAUUUAAAGUGGUACGCGAGCUGGGUUUAGAACGUCGUGAGACAGUUCGGUCCCUAUCUGCCGUGGGCGCUGGAGAAUUGAGGGGGGCUGCUCCCAGUACGAGAGGACCGGAGUGGACGCAUCACUGGUGUUCGGGUUGUCAUGCCAAUGGCACUGCCCGGUAGCUAAAUGCGGAAGAGAUAAGUGCUGAAAGCAUCUAAGCACGAAACUUGCCCCGAGAUGAGUUCUCCCUGAGACUAUAAGUCUCCUGAAGGAACGUUGAAGACGACGACGUUGAUAGGCCGGGUGUGUAAGCGCAGCGAUGCGUUGAGCUAACCGGUACUAAUGAACCGUGAGGCUUAACCUU
RNAcentral lists this ribosomal RNA (2902 nucleotides) under Cronobacter dublinensis subsp. dublinensis LMG 23823. RNAcentral's name for it is "bacterial LSU rRNA". It matches the Rfam family "Bacterial large subunit ribosomal RNA". Lineage: Bacteria; Pseudomonadati; Pseudomonadota; Gammaproteobacteria; Enterobacterales; Enterobacteriaceae. The record is from RNAcentral.